RNAcentral lists this ribosomal RNA (645 nucleotides) under Methanosarcina sp. enrichment culture clone C06. Its description in RNAcentral is "bacterial SSU rRNA". It matches the Rfam family "Archaeal small subunit ribosomal RNA", at positions 61 to 705 of the family's 1478-position model. The record is from RNAcentral. Lineage: Archaea; Methanobacteriati; Methanobacteriota; Methanomicrobia; Methanosarcinales; Methanosarcinaceae.
UAUGUUCUUCGUGAACACGGCGUACUGCUCAGUAACACGUGGAUAACCUGCCCUUGGGUCCGGCAUAACCCCGGGAAACUGGGGAUAAUUCCGGAUAACGCACAUAUGCUGGAAUGCUUUAUGCGUCAAAUGGAUUCGUCUGCCCAAGGAUGGGUCUGCGGCCUAUCAGGUAGUAGUGGGUGUAAUGUACCUACUAGCCGACGACGGGUACGGGUUGUGAGAGCAAGAGCCCGGAGAUGGAUUCUGAGACAUGAAUCCAGGCCCUACGGGGCGCAGCAGGCGCGAAAACUUUACAAUGCGGGAAACCGUGAUAAGGGGACACCGAGUGCCAGCAUCAUAUGCUGGCUGUCCGGGUGUGUAAAAUACACCUGUUAGCAAGGGCCGGGCAAGACCGGUGCCAGCCGCCGCGGUAACACCGGCGGCCCGAGUGGUGAUCGUGAUUAUUGGGUCUAAAGGGUCCGUAGCCGGUUUGGUCAGUCCUCCGGGAAAUCUGACGGCUUAACCGUUAGGCUUUCGGAGGAUACUGCCAGGCUUGGAACCGGGAGAGGUAAGAGGUACUACAGGGGUAGGAGUGAAAUCUUGUAAUCCCUGUGGGACCACCUGUGGCGAAGGCGUCUUACCAGAACGGGUUCGACGGUGAGGGAC